GAUGAACGCUAGCGGCAGGCCUAACACAUGCAAGUCGAGGGGUAGAGGUUGCUUGCAACCUUGAGACCGGCGCACGGGUGCGUAACGCGUAUGCAAUCUGCCUUGUACUGAGGGAUAGCCCAGAGAAAUUUGGAUUAAUACCUCAUAGUAUCUUUUCCCGGCCUCGGGAGAUUAUUAAAGUUCCAACGGUACAAGAUGAGCAUGCGUCCCAUUAGCUAGUUGGUAUGGUAACGGCAUACCAAGGCAAUGAUGGGUAGGGGUCCUGAGAAGGCGACCCACGAGACUGGUACUAGGGAACGCACAAUGCUCCUACGGGAAGCAUCAGUGAGAAAUUUGGUUUAAUGGGCGUAAGCCUGAACCAGCCAGGCGGCGUGCAGGAUGAAGCAUUUAUGGGGUCUAUAUUGCUUUUAAACAGGAAGAAGCACCGGUUCGUGAAACGGCUUUACGUUACCGUAGGAGUAAGGGUCGGCUAUGAGCGAGGCAGCAACCCUCGUAA
Molecule: ribosomal RNA, 496 nt
Filed under: uncultured bacterium
Lineage: Bacteria
Description: partial 16S ribosomal RNA
Rfam family: Bacterial small subunit ribosomal RNA
Source: RNAcentral